RNAcentral lists this long non-coding RNA (731 nucleotides) under Phaseolus vulgaris (common bean). Its description in RNAcentral is "long non-coding RNA (PVUL_LNC004810)". The record is from RNAcentral. Lineage: Eukaryota; Viridiplantae; Streptophyta; Magnoliopsida; Fabales; Fabaceae.
UUUCUCCUUAGCAGCCAAAAAAAAUUGCUAAUGGGUUGGUUCUUUUGUUGUUGAGCAGAAGCAAGAAAGUUUCCCGGGGAAUGGAGCAGUGGAGGAGAGUGCAUUGGAUUUUUCUCAAUGUGUAUCUGCAACAAGAAUAAAGGUACAGCUCAAGUUCUAGUGCUAAUUGUUUUAUCAAAUUUUUUCAUUAUGUUAUAAGUAAAACUAUUAGCCCUUUGCAUGCACAGUUUUCACUGCGUUGAGCUAAAUUUGUUGAUCUAUGCAGAAAAAGACAAAAUUCCAGAAGCACUUUAGUUUCUUGGAGAGGUCUCUAGCUGGAAAACUUGCCUCAGAGGAACAAGGUGAAGAUCCAUUUGCCCUGAACACUUUGUUUUGUUACUGAGAAAAGACUGGUAGGAAAAUAUGCUAAGAAGCGUUUUGUUAAAUCUUGUGAUCAGGUAGUUUUGAUGAAGAAGGGAAAUGAGUUGGUUUGCUGUAGCCCAUGUCACUGUUGUUGCUGCAUUGCUGUGGAAAGAGAGACCAGAAGAAUGGAUGUCAAAGGAGAGAAGCUACUGAAUGUCUAGCAAAAGGAACUCGUUUUUCUUCUUUUUUUUUUUCCUCGAAAAUAUUGAAAAAGAAAAGCUCUUAUGUUGUAAUUUUACCUUUUUUUUUAAUCUGCUCGUAUGCUACUGCCUAUGCUAUUGGGAGCAACCUAAGAGAAUAUAGGAAACUGAAUAAGGUUUCUGUCCUCC